GGGGAUGCAGCUCGAUGGUAGAGCACUUGGCUUGCAUGUUGGAGGCCCUGGAUUCAAUUCCCAGCAUCUCUC
Molecule: transfer RNA, 72 nt
Filed under: Heterocephalus glaber (naked mole-rat)
Lineage: Eukaryota; Metazoa; Chordata; Mammalia; Rodentia; Bathyergidae
Rfam family: tRNA
About the family: Transfer RNA (tRNA) molecules are approximately 80 nucleotides in length. Their secondary structure includes four short double-helical elements and three loops (D, anti-codon, and T loops). Further hydrogen bonds mediate the characteristic L-shaped molecular structure. tRNAs have two regions of fundamental functional importance: the anti-codon, which is responsible for specific mRNA codon recognition, and the 3' end, to which the tRNAs corresponding amino acid is attached (by aminoacyl-tRNA synthetases). tRNAs cope with the degeneracy of the genetic code in two manners: having more than one tRNA (with a specific anti-codon) for a particular amino acid; and 'wobble' base-pairing, i.e. permitting non-standard base-pairing at the 3rd anti-codon position.
Source: Rfam by way of RNAcentral